This 75-nucleotide transfer RNA is filed under the name Alphaproteobacteria bacterium MarineAlpha5_Bin12. RNAcentral's name for it is "tRNA-Thr". It matches the Rfam family "tRNA". From Rfam's summary of the family: Transfer RNA (tRNA) molecules are approximately 80 nucleotides in length. Their secondary structure includes four short double-helical elements and three loops (D, anti-codon, and T loops). The record is from RNAcentral. Lineage: Bacteria; Pseudomonadati; Pseudomonadota; Alphaproteobacteria. RNAcentral also lists the same sequence under 1 other name.
GCUGUUGUAGCUUAGUGGUAAAGCACUUGCAUGGUAAGCAAGAGAUCGAGGUUUCGAUUACCUCCAACAGCACCA